RNAcentral lists this transfer RNA (88 nucleotides) under Amycolatopsis sp. NBRC 101858. RNAcentral's name for it is "tRNA-Asp". Lineage: Bacteria; Bacillati; Actinomycetota; Actinomycetes; Pseudonocardiales; Pseudonocardiaceae. The record is from RNAcentral.
ACGCCGCCGGGGCGCGGUUCACGGCUGGUCCGGCCGUUCGAGGACAACCCGGUGUUUUCGGCCUGUUUCCGGCAGCUGGGCGGCGUUC